GGUCAACCAAUGCAAUGCACUCUUUUACCAUCUGUAACAUCAUCGUUAAUAAAACCAUCUGGAAGAUUUACAAACAGACUAUCUCCGACGGUAUACGGACCCGGAAAAAACAGCGCUUCCACUUCUCAGCAUCAGAUAUCUCGUUCAUCAAUAACAAAUAACACUCCCGGAAGACCCGUCAAUUUUACCGUCAGAAUGCCUUAAAAACCAUAUUACUGUAUUUUGCUGUAAAAUACAAGACUAUAUCCUGCUUCCAGUUUUAAAUUAGUGUUAUAAACAUGUAGAUAAAAAAUUAUCUUCUGAA
This is a long non-coding RNA of Centruroides sculpturatus (bark scorpion), 304 nucleotides long. RefSeq lists it as uncharacterized. Lineage: Eukaryota; Metazoa; Arthropoda; Arachnida; Scorpiones; Buthidae. The record is from RefSeq and is a predicted model, not a curated record. The transcript is spliced from 2 exons.